This 241-nucleotide unclassified non-coding RNA is filed under the name Hevea brasiliensis (rubber tree). Lineage: Eukaryota; Viridiplantae; Streptophyta; Magnoliopsida; Malpighiales; Euphorbiaceae. The record is from RNAcentral.
CGGCCGUCCGAUCAUCCGCCGCUGUUCGAUCGUCCGUCUGCCGUCCGAUCAUCCACUACCGUCCGAUGUCCGAUCAUCCGCCGCUGUCCGUCGGCCGUCCGAUUGUCCGAUCAUUCGUCGCUGUCCGCCUGCCGUCCGAUCGUGUGCCGUCCGGUCAUCCACCGCCGUCCGAUUGUCCGGUCAUCCGCUGCUUUCCGACUGACGGCGGCGGAUGAACGGCCGGGAGGCAGACGGCGGCGGA